UCCGGUUGAUCCUGCCGGACCCGACUGCUAUUUGGGUGAGAAUAAGCCAUGCAAGUUGAAUGGAAUACCAAAAUAUUCCAUGGCAAACUGCUCAAUAACACGUGAUCAACUUACCCUAUGGAAAACAAUAACCUCUGGAAACGGAGGAUAAUGGUUUAUAGUUGAAAAGGCUUGGAAAAGUUUUUCAAUAAAAGGGAAUAAUAAAAAUGGUUAUUAUUUUGCCAUAGGAUAGGAUUGCGGUCGAUUAUGGCUGUUGGUGAGGUAAUGGCUCACCAAACCAAUAAUCGAUAGGGGCCGUGAGAGCGGGAGCCCCGAGAUGGGUACUGAGACAACGACCCAGGCCUUACGAGGUGCAGCAGGCGCGAAAACUCCGCAAUACACGAAAGUGUGACGGGGUUACCCAAAGUGCUUAAUUUUUAAGCUGUGGUAAGUGUGUAAUGUACCUUACUAGAAAGGAGAGGGCAAGGCUGGUGCCAGCCGCCGCGGUAAAACCAGCUCUUCAAGUGGUCGGGAUAUUUAUUGGGCUUAAAGUGUCCGUAGCUUGUAUAAUAAGUUCCUGGUAAAAUCUAAUAGCUUAACUAUUAGUAUGCUAGGAAUACUGUUAUACUAGAGGGCGGGAGAGGUUUGAGGUACUUCAGGGGUAGGGGUGAAAUCCUAUAAUCCUUGAAGGACCACCAGUGGCGAAGGCGUCAGACUGGAACGCGCCUGACAGUGAGGGACGAAAGCCAGGGGAGCGAACCGGAUUAGAUACCCGGGUAGUCCUGGCCGUAAACGAUGCACACUAGGUGUUGGUAUGGCUAUGAGCCAUAUCAGUGCCGAAGGGAAACCAUUAAGUGUGCCGCCUGGGAAGUACGGUCGCAAGGCUAAAACUUAAAGGAAUUGGCGGGGGAGCAC
Molecule: ribosomal RNA, 894 nt
Filed under: uncultured archaeon
Lineage: Archaea
Description: bacterial SSU rRNA
Rfam family: Archaeal small subunit ribosomal RNA
Source: RNAcentral